AUUGAACGCUGGCGGCAGGCCUAACACAUGCAAGUCGAACGAGUGGCGGACGGGUGAGUAAUGUCCGGGAAACUGCCUGAUGGAGGGGGAUAACUACUGGACACGGUAGCUAAUACCGCAUACCAUCGGAUGUGCCCAGAUGGGAUUAGCUAGUAGGUGGGGUAACGGCUCACCUAGGCGACGAUCCCUAGCUGGUCUGAGAGGAUGACCAGCCACCCUGGAACGGAACCGAGGUCCAGACCCCUACGGGAGGCGGAAGUGGGGAAUAUGGCACAAUGGGCGCAAGCCUAGUGCAGCCAUGCCGCGUGUAUGAAGAGGGCCUUGGGGUUGGAAAGUACUUUCAGCGGGGAGGCGUUACCCGCAGAAGAAGCACCGGCUAACUCCGUGCCAGCAGCCGCGGUAAUUC
This 406-nucleotide ribosomal RNA is filed under the name uncultured bacterium. RNAcentral describes it as "partial 16S ribosomal RNA". It matches the Rfam family "Bacterial small subunit ribosomal RNA", at positions 29 to 526 of the family's 1533-position model. The record is from RNAcentral.